UCCCGGUUGAUCCUGCCGGACCCGACUGCUAUCGGAUUGAGAUUUGGCCAUGCGAGUCGAACGUCCCCCUGUUGCGGGGGGCGUGGCGUACGGCUCAGUAACACGUAGUCAACCUGCCCUGGAGACAAGGACAACCCCGGGAAACUGGGAUUAAUCCUUGAUAGGUCAUCUCAUCUGGAAGGAGAGAUGGCUUAAAGGGGUACGCGGGCUUCUUCCGCGAAUCUGCUCCAGGAUGGGACUGCGUCCGAUCAGGCUGUUGGCGGGGUAAUGGCCCACCAAACCUGUAACCGGUACGGGCCUUGAGAGAGGUGGCCCGGAGAUGGACACUGAGAGAAGGGUCCAGGUCCUACGGGGCGCAGCAGGCGCGAAACCUUCGCAAUGCGCGAAAGCGUGACGAGGUUAAUCCGAGUGACUCCCGCUGAGGGGGUCUUUUGUCAGCUGUAAAUAGGCAGGCGAAUAAGGGGAGGGCAAGCCUGGUGUCAGCCGCCGCGGUAAUACCAGCUCCUCGAGUGGUCGGGGCGAUUAUUGGGCCUAAAGCAUCCGUAGCCGGUUCCGUAGGUCCUCUGUUAAAUCCAACCGCUUAACGGUUGACCUGCAGAGGAUACCGCGGGACUAGGAGGCGGGAGAGGCGGACGGUACUCCGCGUGUAGGGGUAAAAUCCUUUGAUCCGCGGAAGACCACCAGUGGCGAAGGCGGUCCGCCAGAACGCGCUCGACGGUGAGGGAUGAAAGCUGGGGGAGCGAACCGGAUUAGAUACCCGGGUAGUCCCAGCCGUAAACGAUGCUAGCUAGAUGAUUCAUUCGCAAGUCGCGAAUGAAGUGUCGCAGGGAAGCCGUUAAGCUAGCCGCCUGGGGAGUACGGUCGCAAGACUGAAACUUAAAGGGAUUGGCGGGGGAGCA
Molecule: ribosomal RNA, 899 nt
Filed under: uncultured archaeon
Lineage: Archaea
Description: bacterial SSU rRNA
Rfam family: Archaeal small subunit ribosomal RNA
Source: RNAcentral